Molecule: long non-coding RNA, 162 nt
Organism: Sphaeramia orbicularis (orbiculate cardinalfish)
Lineage: Eukaryota; Metazoa; Chordata; Actinopteri; Kurtiformes; Apogonidae
Exons: 3
Source: RefSeq, a predicted model, not a curated record
GGGAAAAUGUGUGUUUUAGUGUUUGAGUCACUUUACAAAAUUGCUAAAAAUUUCCACACAAAUUUUAAAAGUUGCUAAAUUUGUUGGUAGUUGCUUUUUGAAAAAAGUUGUUUGGAUUGUCUGAAAAGUUGCUAAAUCUAGCAACAAAAGGGAUAAGUUGGC